CGUUCCUGGACCAGCCUGCAUCGUAUGAUUUUCCCUUCUUGAAACAGAAAAUAAUACUGACACCAGAAUAGAGGAAGCUGUAUCUUCCGGAUCAUCUGGGAAAGGACAGAGGUGGUCUGUUGGUGCGAUUCAUAAACAACCUCUUCAGCACAACCUGGUUGAAUGUGGAGUUGUUUCAUCUGGCCAGAAACCUGUACAGCUUGACCAACAGCUUCAGGUAGACCAAUAUCCUGGUUCUUGGGCUCCUUGUGCCGACCUUUCGGUCCUUGGGGCGGAUGUCAACCCCCAUGAUGGCGCCUUCUGUUUUGUGUGUUGUUAUUUUUUCCCUUGAGCGCGGAUAGGAGUUUCUCUUUUGCCCUGUAACUGAAAGAAAAAAGUUACAUAGAUUUAAGUGUGGAUUUCUUUUCACUGAGUUAAUCUGGCAUGUAAUGAUCCCACCUCAUUUUUACAUUCUUUUUUUAAUGUUUUAUUUUUAAUUAUUAUGGGUACAUAGUAGGUAUAUAUAUUUAUGUGGUACAUGUGAUGUUUUGAUGUAGGCAUACAGGGUGUAAAAAUCACAUCAGGAUAAUUGGGGCAACCAUCACCUCAAGUAUUUAUCAUUUCUUUGUGAUAGGAACAUUCUAGUUCUACUCCUUUAGGUAUUUAUAAAUAUAUAGUAAAUUACUGUUGACUGUAGUCACUCAGUUGUGCUACCAAAUACUAUCUAACUAUAUUUUUCAACUCAAUAAUCAUCCCCACUCCCCCAGUCCUCUCCCACUACUACCCUUUCCAACCUUUGGUAACUAUCAUUCUACUCUCUAUCUCCAUGAGUUCAGUUGUUUCAGUUUUUAGCUCCCACAAAUAAGUGAGAACAUGUGAAGUUUGUGUUUCUGUGCCUGGUUUUUUUCACUUCACACAGUGUCCUCUAGCCUCAUCCAUGUUGUUGCAAAUAACAGGAUUUUAUUCUUUUUAUUGCUGAACAAUAUUCCAUUGUGGAUAAAUACUACAUUUUGUUUAUCCAUUCAUCUGUUGAUGGACACUAAAGUUAAUUCCAAAUCUUGGCUGUUGUGAAGAGUGCUGCAAUGAACAUGAGAGUGCAGGUAUCUCUUCAAUAUAUUGAUUUUAUUUUUGGGGAUAUAUACCUAGAAGUGAGAAUCCUGGAUCACGCGAUAGUUCUAUUUUUAGUUGUUUUGAGGAACCUCCAUAGU
RNAcentral lists this long non-coding RNA (1187 nucleotides) under Papio anubis (olive baboon). Its description in RNAcentral is "lncRNA (ENSPANG00000047297.1)". The record is from RNAcentral. Lineage: Eukaryota; Metazoa; Chordata; Mammalia; Primates; Cercopithecidae.